This is a long non-coding RNA of Oreochromis aureus, 325 nucleotides long. The record is from Ensembl. NCBI's taxonomy places the organism in Eukaryota, Metazoa, Chordata, Actinopteri, Cichliformes, Cichlidae.
UCCUGUAUCAUGUUCAUGAAGGUGUUGAGGUGUCAGAGUCUCAGGAUGCAAAGUUUUCAGGACGAGUCCAGAGUGACAAAGACGCCCUCAGAGAAGGACGAAUCAGACUUCAACUGUCCAGACUCAGGACUGAUGACUCGGGUCUGUACCUGUGUGAGGUCAACACUGAUUAUGGCUUCAGUGUUGGAAGAUGUCGACUCAACGUCACUGAAUGUUACAAAAGCAUUUGCUCUACAAACAGUUUGCUUACAAAGUUGAUUCACUGUUGUUCUUCUUUUUUGGUCAUGGCUCAAAAUUAGUUCCAAAGUUAGAGUGUUGUGGUCCC